Non-coding RNA from Phrynosoma platyrhinos (Desert horned lizard), 72 nucleotides. NCBI's taxonomy places the organism in Eukaryota, Metazoa, Chordata, Lepidosauria, Squamata, Phrynosomatidae. The record is from the annotation of a GenBank genome assembly.
GCCAACAUGGUGUAGUGGCUUUCAUAUUGGACUGGGACUCUGGAGGCCAGGGUUCAAAUCCCAGUUCAGUCA